RNAcentral lists this small nuclear RNA (346 nucleotides) under Sorex araneus (European shrew). Its description in RNAcentral is "7SK RNA (ENSSARG00000018827.1)". It matches the Rfam family "7SK RNA". Rfam says of the family: 7SK was discovered as an abundant small nuclear RNA in the mid-70s but a possible function has only recently been suggested. Two independent studies have found that 7SK RNA binds the CDK9/cyclin T complex (known as elongation factor P-TEFb). P-TEFb activates transcription by phosphorylating the C-terminal domain of RNA polymerase II. The record is from RNAcentral. Lineage: Eukaryota; Metazoa; Chordata; Mammalia; Eulipotyphla; Soricidae.
GGCGGUGAGGGCCAACUGGCUGGGACAUCUCACACCAGGGUGGAUCGGCUGCUCUGGCAGACGAGGUCGGUGUCCCCUCACUCCUUCGACCCUCCAUGUGCGCUCCUGCCGGGCUUGGCGCUCUGUCUGUCGAACAGAGCGGCCUUCCCCGAACAGAGACGGGCGGGUCUUCUGUUCUGUUGAGCGGCUGCGCUCCCCUGCUAGGACCGCCCCCCCCCCCCCCAACAAGCUCUCAAGGGCCCUAUUGACUUGACUGAAACACAGAUUGUUCAUGAGGAAGGCAGACUCCACAGACUGGGAGAGUUUGUAAGUAAAUAGCUACAGAAUAAAACGUGCUCAAUCACUU